Canis lupus familiaris (dog) is the source of this 1885-nucleotide long non-coding RNA. RefSeq lists it as uncharacterized. NCBI's taxonomy places the organism in Eukaryota, Metazoa, Chordata, Mammalia, Carnivora, Canidae. The record is from RefSeq and is a predicted model, not a curated record. The transcript has 2 exons.
UGUCACCUUCUGAUGUAAGAAGUAGCCCAUGCACACAAAGAGGGAAGGCGCAGAUGGGGCUGUAUUUAGAGACUGACCAUCACAGAGAAGAAGCUUGACUAAUAUGCUGGACUAAUACUUCUGUCAGACUUGCUGAGUAUAGGCAGUGGUGUCUGGGGAUAGUCGCUGCCUCUCAGCAGGUCAGGCUGGCUGGUAGUUGGGUACCUAGGGCCGAACAGGAUAAACCAGAUUCCUUGUGGUUCUUGGCUCAUGCACCUGAUGUCCAGUGGAGAAAGAAAGAUAAACCUGAAUCACAUGGAGAAAGCAAAUUAUGAACCACAAUUCUGGCAAUGCCACAUUUUUGUUAGAUCCACUAUCUGGUUGAUGGCAUGACCAGGAGUACUUUCCAGAGGCCUCCCUGAGACACUCUCCUGGUGGUAUUUAGACUACAGGGUUCUCUCCAACUGCAACCUGGCAACUUUCAGCUGAUUUUUCCUCCACAGUGAGCCCUGGCUGUCACUCUUCUCUUUAAACUUUACUUCUCAGAAUGUUUUAUCAGAUAGACAUAAAUAAGAUGUCAUUUGCCCAUCCCUAAAAGGGCAAUCUUUUAUUGCCCUCUGAACAGAUCCUUGGAUUUCUAGAUCUAAUAGUUUAUCUGAGAAGGAGAAAGGAUUUAAGUACAAUUUUCCGUUAUUUAUACUAUAUCCUGUAUCACCUUGCCAGUUAUCCUGUUAAGUCCUGUUGCUGUCCUCCAAUGGGCCGUCUAUAUGGCAGAGACAGUAUGAUGAACUCCGUAGAAUACAGACACUGUGUGAUGCCCCCUACUCUGGACAUCAUAACGAGUCUCCCCUUUGCAGACUUUGAGGAGCCCCUUGCUCAGGCCCAGUAGAAAUCAAAGCCCAGCUCAGACUAACCUGAGUUCCCAAGGGGAGUCCUGCUUUCCUACCUAUGGCCUCCACUUUUCAACAAGCCUCCCACAACCCGCCACUCAUCUUCACCCCAAAUCUCCUUCCCAUGAGGUGUUGGAGGGGGUAGAAGCCUUUACUAAGAUUCAAAAGUCUUGAGAAGGGGGCUACCUAUUGCACCACCCAGCAGCAGACUUUUAAAAAACCAUAUGCUUGACUUUCCUGCUUUUGCAAAGUCCUUGGACACCAGCAGUACUAGGGCUCCUCCUGGCCUUGCACCAAGGCCUGAUCUCUCCCACACUCUGCUAUCUCUUGCUUCUCACUGCACUUAGGUCUCCCCUCUCAGAAACAAAAAAAUACAUUCUUCUCAUUUUCUUAUGUCACAAGUCCCUCCCCUUGUUUGAGUCUCUGUCAGCACCCCUGCCUUCAGAGCCUGAUUUUUGUGCCUAAGUGACUUAACCAUGUCCUUUGCUAAAUGAGAAGGAAUCCUGGGGCUGGGAGGGAGGAUAGCAUGCUUUAUGCACCUUGUUACAUUUGCACCUUGAGAGAUCUUUUUGUUUGGAAGCAGCACAUGGAUCCAUAUCACCCCUCAGCAGAAGGGAGAAGAGUGGACUUAUUGGGAACAUAAAGACAAGAAACUGAAGAACUUCAGAAACCCCUCGGGAUCUGAGACAGAGCAGAACACCCAGCUUGCUGGGAUGUCAGGCUAAGGGAAGGUGGGGCUCGACCACCUGUCCUGCUCUGAGAGGAGUCUUUCAGUCUGCUCUUGGCCCAGAUGGCCAGGUCCCAGAGGCAGACCCUGCUGACUGACCUAUGGCCCCCCAUAACACUCCAGUGAAGCCCUACAGCCACAUGGACUGCUCAGAGGAGAGCCUGCGGGGUGGUGGUCGGGGAAACUCCGGGAACCACACAAGGACUUCUCAAACUGCUGUGCCUCAGAAUCACCUAGAACACUUGCUCAAAAUACAGACACCCAGAACCAUUCUGGGGCAUCUGUCUUC